RNAcentral lists this ribosomal RNA (406 nucleotides) under uncultured bacterium. Its description in RNAcentral is "bacterial SSU rRNA". It matches the Rfam family "Bacterial small subunit ribosomal RNA", at positions 989 to 1393 of the family's 1533-position model. The record is from RNAcentral.
GAUAGGACACUUUCAGAGAUGGAUUGGUGCCUUCGGGAACUCUGAGACAGGUGCUGCAUGGCUGUCGUCAGCUCGUGUUGUGAAAUGUUGGGUUAAGUCCCGCAACGAGCGCAACCCUUAUCCUUGUUUGCCAGCGAGUAAUGUCGGGAACUCCAGGGAGACUGCCGGUGAUAAACCGGAGGAAGGUGGGGACGACGUCAAGUCAUCAUGGCCCUUACGAGUAGGGCUACACACGUGCUACAAUGGCGCAUACAGAGGGCAGCCAACUUGCGAAAGUGAGCGAAUCCCAAAAAGUGCGUCGUAGUCCGGAUUGGAGUCUGCAACUCGACUCCAUGAAGUCGGAAUCGCUAGUAAUCGUGGAUCAAAAUGCCACGGUGAAUACGUUCCCGGGUCUUGUACACACCGA